AUUCCAGCUCCAAUAGCGUAUACUAAAGUUGUUGCAGUUAAAAAGCUCGUAGUUGAAUUUCUGGUCUUGGACGGCGGUCUACCACAAUUGUGGUACGUACCAACUGUCCGAGUCCAUCCUCGGGGAAAACAUGCCUGUGAUUCAGUUCAUGGGUAUGGGAUCCUCGUCAUUUACUGUGAGCAAAAUAGAGUGUUCAAAGCAGGCUUAUGCCGUUGAAUACAUUAGCAUGGAAUAAUAAGAUAAGACCUUGGUCUAUUUUGUUGGUUUGUACUCCAAGGUAAUGAUUAAUAGGGAUAGUUGGGGGUAUUCGUAUUCAAUUGUCAGAGGUGAAAUUCUUGGAUUUAUGGAAGACGAACUACUGCGAAAGCAUUUACCAAGGAUGUUUUCAUCA
This 391-nucleotide ribosomal RNA is filed under the name Chrysophyceae sp. RNAcentral describes it as "partial small subunit ribosomal RNA". It matches the Rfam family "Eukaryotic small subunit ribosomal RNA", at positions 582 to 975 of the family's 1831-position model. The record is from RNAcentral. Lineage: Eukaryota; Chrysophyceae.